Molecule: ribosomal RNA, 502 nt
Filed under: uncultured Glomeromycotina
Lineage: Eukaryota; Fungi; Glomeromycota
Description: partial small subunit ribosomal RNA
Rfam family: Eukaryotic small subunit ribosomal RNA
Source: RNAcentral
CCAAUAGCGUAUAUUAAAGUUGUUGCAGUUAAAAAGCUCGUAGUUGAAUUUCGGAAUCUGUCCGUCGGUCGGGCUUAACUGUCCGUACUGGUGUGAUGGGUUCUUACCUUCUGAAUAACCAGCAUGCCAUUAAUUUAGUGUGUUGGGGAAGCAGGACUAUUACCUUGAAAAAAUUAGAGUGCUCAAAGCAGGCUAGCGCCUGAAUACAUUAGCAUGGAAUAAUAAAAUAGGACGGCAUGGUUCUAUUUUGUUGGUUUCUAGGAUCACCGUAAUGAUUAAUAGGGAUAGUUGGGGGCAUUAGUAUUCAAUUGUCAGAGGUGAAAUUCUUGGAUUUAUUGAAGACUAACUUCUGCGAAAGCAUUUGCCAAGGAUGUUUUCAUUAAUCAAGAACGAAAGUUAGGGGAUCGAAGACGAUCAGAUACCGUCGUAGUCUUAACCAUAAACUAUGCCGACUAGGGAUCGGACGAUGUUAAUUUUAUAAUGACUCGUUCGGCGCCUUACG